CCUACGGGUGGCAGCAGUGGGGAAUAUUGCACAAUGGGGGAAACCCUGAUGCAGCGACGCCGCGUGAGUGAAGAAGUAUUUCGGUACGUAAAGCUCUAUCAGCAGGGAAGAAAAUGACGGUACCUGACUAAGAAGCCCCGGCUAACUACGUGCCAGCAGCCGCGGUAAUACGUAGGGGGCAAGCGUUAUCCGGAUUUACUGGGGGUAAAGGGAGCGUAGACGGCAGCGCAAGUCUGGAGUGAAAUCCCAUGGCUUAACCAUGGAACUGCUUUGGAAACUGUUCAGCUAGAGUGCAGGAGAGGUAAGCGGAAUUCCUAGUGUAGCGGUGAAAUGCGUAGAUAUUAGGAGGAACACCAGUGGCGAAGGCGGCUUACUGGACUGUAACUGACGUUGAGGCUCGAAAGCGUGGGGAGCAAACAGGAUUAGAUACCCCAGUAGUC
RNAcentral lists this ribosomal RNA (440 nucleotides) under uncultured bacterium. RNAcentral describes it as "partial 16S ribosomal RNA". It matches the Rfam family "Bacterial small subunit ribosomal RNA", at positions 338 to 795 of the family's 1533-position model. The record is from RNAcentral.